GGGCCCGCACAAGCGGUGGAGCAUGUGGUUUAAUUCGAUGAUACGCGAGGAACCUUACCAGGGCUUAAAUGUAAGUUGCAUUAGUUAGAGAUAGCUAUUUCUUCGGACCACUUACAAGGUGCUGCAUGGUUGUCGUCAGCUCGUGCCGUGAGGUGUCAGGUUAAGUCCUAUAACGAGCGCAACCCCUGUUGUUAGUUGCCAGCGAGUCAUGUCGGGAACUCUAACAAGACUGCCGGUGCAAACCGUGAGGAAGGUGGGGAUGACGUCAAAUCAUCACGGCCCUUACGUCCUGGCUACACACGUGCUACAAUGGUAGUGACAAUGGGUUAAUCCCAAAAAGCUAUCU
RNAcentral lists this ribosomal RNA (346 nucleotides) under uncultured bacterium. RNAcentral describes it as "bacterial SSU rRNA". It matches the Rfam family "Bacterial small subunit ribosomal RNA", at positions 917 to 1288 of the family's 1533-position model. The record is from RNAcentral.